Molecule: long non-coding RNA, 232 nt
Filed under: Capsicum annuum
Lineage: Eukaryota; Viridiplantae; Streptophyta; Magnoliopsida; Solanales; Solanaceae
Description: long non-coding RNA (CANN_LNC012426)
Source: RNAcentral
GUUCCUACACUAAUGUUUCUUUUUGGGAUUUUCUAGUAUAAAUUUGGGGCUACUAAUAAUUAGAGUUUUAAUAACUAUGCUUGGAUAUUAGGAUUAUGCAUUACUAAGGGAGUGACAUAUGGGAGUUAAUCCUCAACAUCGAUUAAGUAAGUCAAAUAUCGGUAGGUUUGGUUAUAGAUUUUGAUGCUGGUCAUUCAACAAAACACCAAACUUUCACACAUUGAUCCGUUUG